Molecule: unclassified non-coding RNA, 777 nt
Filed under: Hevea brasiliensis (rubber tree)
Lineage: Eukaryota; Viridiplantae; Streptophyta; Magnoliopsida; Malpighiales; Euphorbiaceae
Source: RNAcentral
GGUUAAUGGUCACUUCCAUUCUAUUUUAUUUUAAUAAUAUAAAGUCUUCAUAUUUUCAUUUUAAAAAUUUUAAGAAUUCAAUUGAUUAUUCUAAAAAGUCAACAUUUGGCCAAAAAGAAAAAAAGUAUCAUUAUUUCAUCACCAAGCAGACUACAGCAAUUGAUAGGCAGGGUGGCGAUUGAUUAGAUAUCCUAACUGCAACGGUGUCGUGGCCAGCCAAUACUAAACAUCGGACGGUGAAAAUUAUUCGACACUACGUCCCUCACAUGGAUCAUGGCUAACCAGUGAUUCCCACCUCAUUGAGUCCGUACGAUUGUGAGAUUGCCUCAUCAUAGAGUAUCCUAUAGUACAGGUUAUCAAAUGCUUGAUUUUCUACGAAGACAUUAAGAGUCCAUUCAAAAAUACCGAAUAGAAUGAAAUUUCCAAGCUUUAACACCAUGAUCACAGCCAAAUUGGAGGAAAACUAGAACCCAGAAAUCUAUUUACUCCUAUUUGUUAAACCAUCCAUACAUCGAACAUAUUAUGAUGUAAAGGCCAUCCGAACUUGCUAUUUCAACAUAGGAUCUAUUUCGAAUUUAGUUUACAUUUACCGAUUCGUACCGUUGUCUAAAUUUGAAACCAUUGCACCUUCUGGCUACAAUGACCAUAUAAAAAGAUUAUAAUAAGAGAGAGAGAGAGAGAGAUAUGAUACUUUGAAGUUUCUUUGGAUACAAACUCAAAGAGUUCUUUUUUUCUUUGUUAGGAUGAGUAGAUGUUUAUGGAGAGAGAGAGAGAGAG